AUUUGCAGUGUGAGAAUUUCCCUCACAUUUAUCCAAUACCAAGCCAAAUCACUGGAAAAAUUUUGGAUGGGUCCACAAGAGCACAAAGUGCAUACUUUUUGAAGAAAAACAUCUUUCAGAUGUAUGAGAAAUUGAUUGGAGCCUGUCUGGAAAACGGCAGCCACUGGACCUUGUUUUUUUGUGACAUACCCAAGAGGACCAUAGUCUAUAUGAAUUCAUUUGGCGAGUCGGAGGUCAGAAAAAGUGCGGUGUUGAAAAACUGGAGCUCAUUUGCUUCAGCAAGAGGCUGCGCUGGAGAGUGGACCUUGUCACAUGUGAGCCACCCACAUCAACAGGAUGGGAACUCAUGUGGAGUGCAUGUCGUCAUGGUACUGAAA
Maylandia zebra (zebra mbuna) is the source of this 377-nucleotide non-coding RNA. The record is from RefSeq and is a predicted model, not a curated record. Lineage: Eukaryota; Metazoa; Chordata; Actinopteri; Cichliformes; Cichlidae.